UGUAAUUUAGUGAUUAUGCACAAGUAAAUUUCAAGAGGCAAUGUCAUAGUACAGGGCCUGACUUCAAGUAUUUAUCCAUACAAGAUUCCUUCUACUCACUUGCAGCUAGAAUUCUGAGAUUCAUGUACAUCAAAAACAUAUUUUAGGAGAAGGGAAAGGAUGUCAGACUGCUCCGAUACAAGAUACUUACACAGUGGAGGAAAUCGACACUCAAAGCUUGAACAUUUGGUGAAAAUAGACACCUAUUUGUUAUAAGGCCAGAAGAUUUAAGAACAAAAAAUAUCCCCAGAACUCGACUUCAUCUAAACAUCAACAUUUUUAUAAGAGAUGAUAACCAUGUUAUCAGUUUAGUGAAUAAAAUUAAGAGAUUUGGGGGUUGGAUGGGUCCAUAACAAUUGAAACUGAUGUCACCCACAGACUUUAGAAGGCCCAGAUGGUUUUCUAGCCACAGAGUCUAAGUAAGAUGGAAGUUUGCAGCUUGGGUGAGCAUUUCAACUUAAAUGAAAUGUGGCCCCUCCGUUACAUGUUGUUUAUCUUUGUUUCUCUCACCUUCUGCUUUCUAUCCUUUCCCCUCCCCUCAAAAUUAGAUAGAAUCAAGGAAUCUGAAGGCAAUUGUGCUUAUAGAAUGUGGAGGGGACACUGACAGAGAAUAGGUAUGAGAAUAGGACCCCAACAUAAAGUAGGAAGGAGGAAUGACACUAUUAUUAGACAUCAUCAUUCAGAAUUGUUCUUGAGUUCUACUUUUUUUUAGGGGUUCUGUGGAAAUUUUUCUGACUAUAAUUUGGUCUUGAAUAUUUAAGGCAAAUUUUUUGAGGGAUGGUCUAUGUGCAGGUUUUUUUUUUAAAUUUUAAUUUUUUAGCUUUCGUACUUGUGCAGAGAUUUCUGGUUGACUCUCUGUGGAUCUCUGUCACUGUCACUGUCUCAGUGGCAGAGAAAAGUAUGAUGCCAUUUUUGUCCUGACCUUCCUGCAUCCUUUCCUUAUGAGGCAUUUCCUAAUACAGCUCAUUAAUCUAAAGCUGGAUACACGUUCGUUUAGUGAGUGGCUUCUAAAAGUUUUUAGACAAACUCUGUCAUAUCAGUUCAAUACCUCUUCUCCUCAUCUGACUCUCAAAUACCUUCCUGUAGUCUCUUGUGAACAAUUCAUUAUUCUGUGCAAUAUUUAGGCAAAGGACCAAGAGAUGGGAAGGUGAAAUUGUAUGUAGAGAUAAACCAUAACUUAGGUCUUAGCAUGUUGGGAAGCUAGGUGUUCUAAACAAAUUCUACAGGUUGAAAUCUGUUAGAUGCAAUCAAAUAUCUUACAAAUAAUAGCCUAUCCUUCAAAAUGUACCAGCUUUACAUAGAAAAGAGGCUAAUUUUUUUUUUUGUGAAGAUUCAGUAGUCUCUAAUUUCAGGGCACUUGAACCAAGAAUCUGUUAUGUAUA
Molecule: long non-coding RNA, 1421 nt
Filed under: Marmota monax (woodchuck)
Lineage: Eukaryota; Metazoa; Chordata; Mammalia; Rodentia; Sciuridae
Source: RNAcentral